RNAcentral lists this ribosomal RNA (427 nucleotides) under uncultured bacterium. RNAcentral's name for it is "bacterial SSU rRNA". It matches the Rfam family "Bacterial small subunit ribosomal RNA", at positions 355 to 775 of the family's 1533-position model. The record is from RNAcentral.
UGGGGAAUCUUGCGCAAUGGGCGAAAGCCUGACGCAGCAACGCCGCGUGAGCGAAGAAGGCCUUCGGGUUGUAAAGCUCUGUCAGGGGGAAAGAAGGCACCUGGGUUAAUAGCCCAAGGGCUGACGGUACCCCCAAAGGAAGCCACGGCUAACUACGUGCCAGCAGCCGCGGUAAUACGUAGGUGGCAAGCGUUGUCCGGAAUCAUUGGGCGUAAAGAGCGCGUAGGUGGCUUGUCAGGUCUGAUGUGAAAACUUGGGGCUCAACCCCAAGCCUGCAUCGGAAACCGGCUUGCUAGAGUCUGGGAGAGGAGAGUGGAAUUCCUGGUGUAGCGGUGAAAUGCGUAGAUAUCAGGAGGAACACCGGUAGCGAAGGCGGCUCUCUGGAACAGUACUGACGCUGAGGCGCGAAAGCUAGGGGAGCGAACAG